This 361-nucleotide ribosomal RNA is filed under the name uncultured bacterium. Its description in RNAcentral is "partial 16S ribosomal RNA". It matches the Rfam family "Bacterial small subunit ribosomal RNA", at positions 338 to 696 of the family's 1533-position model. The record is from RNAcentral.
CCUACGGGUGGCAGCAGUGAGGAAUAUUGGUCAAUGGGCGGAAGCCUGAACCAGCCAAGUAGCGUGCAGGAUGACGGCCCUACGGGUUGUAAACUGCUUUUAUACGGGAAUAACGCGCCUUACGUGUAGGGCUUUGCAUGUACCGUAUGAAUAAGGACCGGCUAAUUCCGUGCCAGCAGCCGCGGUAAUACGGAGGGUCCGGGCGUUAUCCGGAUUUAUUGGGUUUAAGGGGAGCGUAGGCCGCAUGUCAAGCGUGCUGUGAAAUGUCCGGGCUCACCCCGGGCCUGGAAGCGGGAACUGGGGGACUAGAGUACGGGGAGGGGAGGCGGAAUUCGGGGGGUAGCGGUGAAAUGCUUAGAUA